CCUACGGGAGGCAGCAGUGAGGAAUAUUGGUCAAUGGACGAGAGUCUGAACCAGCCAAGUAGCGUGAAGGAUGACUGCCCUAUGGGUUGUAAACUUCUUUUAUAUGGGAAUAAAACGUUCCACGUGUGGGAUUUUGUAUGUACCAUAUGAAUAAGGAUCGGCUAACUCCGUGCCAGCAGCCGCGGUAAUACGGAGGAUCCGAGCGUUAUCCGGAUUUAUUGGGGUUAAAGGGAGCGUAGGUGGAUUGUUAAGUCAGUUGUGAAAGUUUGCGGCUCAACCGUAAAAUUGCAGUUGAAACUGGCAGUCUUGAGUAAAGUAGAGGUAGGCGGAAUUCGUGGUGUAGCGGUGAAAUGCGUAGAUAUCACGAAGAACUCCGAUGGCGAAGGCAGUUCACUGGACUGUAACUGACACUGAGGCUCGAAAGUGUGGGUAUCAAACAGGAUUAGAUACCCGAGUAGUC
This 460-nucleotide ribosomal RNA is filed under the name uncultured bacterium. Its description in RNAcentral is "partial 16S ribosomal RNA". It matches the Rfam family "Bacterial small subunit ribosomal RNA", at positions 338 to 795 of the family's 1533-position model. The record is from RNAcentral.